RNAcentral lists this small nuclear RNA (163 nucleotides) under Saimiri boliviensis boliviensis (Bolivian squirrel monkey). RNAcentral describes it as "U1 spliceosomal RNA (ENSSBOG00000014468.1)". It matches the Rfam family "U1 spliceosomal RNA". From Rfam's summary of the family: U1 is a small nuclear RNA (snRNA) component of the spliceosome (involved in pre-mRNA splicing). The record is from Rfam by way of RNAcentral. Lineage: Eukaryota; Metazoa; Chordata; Mammalia; Primates; Cebidae.
AUAUUUACCUGGCAGGGGAGAUACCAUGAUCACGAAGGUGGUUUUCCCAGGGCAAGGCUUAUUCAUUGCACUCCAGAUGUGCUGACCCCUGUGAUUUCCCCAAAUGUGGGAAACCGGACUGCAUAAUUGUGGUAGUGGGGGACUCUGUUCAUGCUUUCCGCUG